GAACGCUAGCGGCAGGCUUAACACAUGCAAGUCGAGGGGCAGCACGGGUAGCAAUACUUGGUGGCGACCGGCGCACGGGUGAGUAACGCGUAUGCAACCUACCUUUUACCGGGGGAUAGCUCAGUGAAAACUGGAUUAAUACCCCAUAACACAGGGAUACCGCAUGGUAAUAUUUGUUAAAGCUCCGGCGGUAGAAGAUGGGCAUGCGUGACAUUAGCUAGUUGGUAGGGUAACGGCCUACCAAGGCGACGAUGUCUAAGGGGUCUGAGAGGAUGAUCCCUCACACUGGUACUGAGACACGGACCAGACUCCUACGGGAGGCAGCAGUGAGGAAUAUUGGUCAAUGGGGGCAACCCUGAACCAGCCAUGCCGCGUGAAGGAAGAAGGUUCUAAGAAUUGUAAACUUCUUUUGUACGGGGGUAAUUUUCCAUACGUGUAUGGGAUUGAAAGUACUGUACGAAUAAGCAUCGGCUAACUCCGUGCCAGCAGCCGCGGUAAUACGGAGGAUGCAAGCGUUAUCCGGAUUUAUUGGGUUUAAAGGGUGCGUAGGCGGACUUAUAAGUCAGCGGUGAAAGACUGUCGCUCAACGAUAGCAUUGCCGUUGAUACUGUAGGCCUUGAGUAUAUUUGAGGUGGGCGGAAUGUGUAGUGUAGCGGUGAAAUGCUUAGAUAUUACACAGAACACCAAUUGCGAAGGCAGCUCACUAAACUAUAACUGACGCUGAGGCACGAAAGCGUGGGGAUCAAACAGGAUUAGAUACCCUGGUAGUCCACGCUGUAAACGAUGAGCACUAGGUGUAGCGGGUAUUGACCCCUGCUGUGCCGCAGCUAACGCAUUAAGUGCUCCGCCUGGGGAUUACGGUCGCAAGACUAAAAC
RNAcentral lists this ribosomal RNA (876 nucleotides) under uncultured bacterium. RNAcentral describes it as "bacterial SSU rRNA". It matches the Rfam family "Bacterial small subunit ribosomal RNA", at positions 31 to 900 of the family's 1533-position model. The record is from RNAcentral.